This 442-nucleotide ribosomal RNA is filed under the name uncultured bacterium. Its description in RNAcentral is "partial 16S ribosomal RNA". It matches the Rfam family "Bacterial small subunit ribosomal RNA", at positions 338 to 795 of the family's 1533-position model. The record is from RNAcentral.
CCUACGGGGGGCAGCAGUAGGGAAUCUUUCACAAUGGGCGAAAGCCUGAUGGAGCAACGCCGCGUGCAGGAUGAAGGCCUUCGGGUUGUAAACUGCUUUUAUAAGCGAGAAAUAUGAUGGUAACUUAUGAAUAAGGAUCGGCUAACUACGUGCCAGCAGCCGCGGUCAUACGUAGGAUCCGAGCAUUAUCCGGAGUGACUGGGUGUAAAGAGUUGCGUAGGUGGCAUAAUAAGUAGCUAGUGAAAUCUGGUGGCUCAACCAUUCAGACUAUUAGCGAAACUGUUAAGCUCGAGACCGUUAGGGGUAACUGGAAUUUCUAGUGUAGGAGUGAAAUCCGUAGAUAUUAGAAGGAACACCAAUAGCGUAGGCAGGUUGCUGGGACGGUUCUGACACUAAGGCACGAAAGCGUAGGGAGCAAACGGGAUUAGAUACCCGAGUAGUC